This 800-nucleotide ribosomal RNA is filed under the name uncultured bacterium. RNAcentral describes it as "bacterial SSU rRNA". It matches the Rfam family "Bacterial small subunit ribosomal RNA", at positions 117 to 922 of the family's 1533-position model. The record is from RNAcentral.
GUAUAGAACCUACCUUAUAUUGGGGGAUAGCCCAGAGAAAUUUGGAUUAAUACCCCAUAGUAUAUUUAAGUGGCCUCACUAAAAUAUUAAAGAUUUAUCGAUAUAAGAUGGCUAUGCGCCCUAUUAGCUAGUUGGUAUGGUAACGGCAUACCAAGGCGACGAUAGGUAGGGGUCCUGAGAGGGAGAUCCCCCACACUGGUACUGAGAUACGGACCAGACUCCUACGGGAGGCAGCAGUGAGGAAUAUUGGACAAUGGAGGCAACUCUGAUCCAGCCAUGCCGCGUGCAGGAAGACUGCCCUAUGGGUUGUAAACUGCUUUUAUAGAGGAAGAAAUCCCCCGACGUGUCGGUCUGACGGUACUCUACGAAUAAGGAUCGGCUAACUCCGUGCCAGCAGCCGCGGUAAUACGGAGGAUCCAAGCGUUAUCCGGAAUCAUUGGGUUUAAAGGGUCCGUAGCGGGCAAUUAAGUCAGAGGUGAAAGUUUGCGGCUCAACCGUAAAAUUGCCUUUGAUACUGGUUGUCUUGAAUUAUUGUGAAGUGGUUAGAAUGUGUAGUGUAGCGGUGAAAUGCAUAGAUAUUACACAGAAUACCGAUUGCGAAGCAGAUCACUAACAAUUGAUUGACGCUAAGGGACGAAAGCGUAGGUAGCGAACGGGAUUAGAUACCCCGGUAGUCUACGCCGUAAACGAUGGAUACUAGUUGUUUGGUUUUCGGACUGAGUGACUAAGCGAAAGUGAUAAGUAUCCCACCUGGGGAGUACGUUCGCAAGAAUGAAACUCAAAGGAAUUGACGGGGGCCC